AACAAGGAUUCCCCUAGUAACGGCGAGUGAAGCGGGAAGAGCUCAAAUUUAAAAUCUGGCAGUGUAUUCUGUCCGAGUUGUAGUCUAGAGAAGCAUCAUCCGUGCUGGACCAUGUACAAGUCUCUUGGAACAGAGCGUCAUAGAGGGUGAGAAUCCCGUCCUUGACAUGGACUCCCAGUACUUUGUGUUGUGCUCUCAACGAGUCGAGUUGUUUGGGAAUGCAGCUCAAAAUGGGUGGUAAAUUCCAUCUAAAGCUAAAUAUUGGCGAGAGACCGAUAGCGAACAAGUACCGUGAGGGAAAGAUGAAAAGCACUUUGGAGAGAGAGUUAAACAGUACGUGAAAUUGUUAAAAGGGAAAC
Molecule: ribosomal RNA, 359 nt
Filed under: Ceratobasidiaceae sp. UAMH 6098
Lineage: Eukaryota; Fungi; Basidiomycota; Agaricomycetes; Cantharellales; Ceratobasidiaceae
Description: eukaryotic LSU rRNA
Rfam family: Eukaryotic large subunit ribosomal RNA
Source: RNAcentral